AGACUAAUACCCAAUGACGUCUCUAGAAGACAUCUGAAGGAGAUUAAAGAUUUAUCGGUGAUGGAUGGGGAUGCGUCUGAUUAGCUUGUUGGCGGGGUAACGGCCCACCAAGGCGACGAUCAGUAGGGGUUCUGAGAGGAAGGUCCCCCACAUUGGAACUGAGACACGGUCCAAACUCCUACGGGAGGCAGCAGUGAGGAAUAUUGGUCAAUGGACGAGAGUCUGAACCAGCCAAGUAGCGUGCAGGAUGACGGCCCUAUGGGUUGUAAACUGCUUUUAUAAGGGAAUAAAGUGAGUCUCGUGAGACUUUUUGCAUGUACCUUAUGAAUAAGGACCGGCUAAUUCCGUGCCAGCAGCCGCGGUAAUACGGAAGGUCCGGGCGUUAUCCGGAUUUAUUGGGUUUAAAGGGAGCGUAGGCCGGAGAUUAAGCGUGUUGUGAAAUGUAGACGCUCAACGUCUGCACUGCAGCGCGAACUGGUUUCCUUGAGUACGCACAAAGUGGGCGGAAUUCGUGGUGUAGCGGUGAAAUGCUUAGAUAUCACGAAGAACUCCGAUUGCGAAGGCAGCUCACUGGAGCGCAACUGACGCUGAAGCUCGAAAGUGCGGGUAUCGAACAGGAUUAGAUACCCUGGUAGUCCGCACGGUAAACGAUGGAUGCCCGCUGUUGGCCUGAACAGGUCAGCGGCCAAGCGAAAGCAUUAAGCAUCCCACCUGGGGAGU
Molecule: ribosomal RNA, 720 nt
Filed under: uncultured bacterium
Lineage: Bacteria
Description: bacterial SSU rRNA
Rfam family: Bacterial small subunit ribosomal RNA
Source: RNAcentral